This 497-nucleotide ribosomal RNA is filed under the name uncultured bacterium. RNAcentral describes it as "partial 16S ribosomal RNA". It matches the Rfam family "Bacterial small subunit ribosomal RNA", at positions 28 to 507 of the family's 1533-position model. The record is from RNAcentral.
GAUGAACGCUGGCGGCGUGCCUAAUACAUGCAAGUCGAGCGAACGGACGAGAAGCUUGCUUCUCUGAUGUUAGCGGCGGACGGGUGAGUAACACGUGGAUAACCUACCUAUAAGACUGGGAUAACUUCGGGAAACCGGAGCUAAUACCGGAUAAUAUUUUGAACCGCAUGGUUCAAAAGUGAAAGACGGUCCUGCUGUCACUUAUAGAUGGAUCCGCGCUGCAUUAGCUAGUUGGUAAGGUAACGGCUUACCAAGGCAACGAUGCAUAGCCGACCUGAGAGGGUGAUCGGCCACACUGGAACUGAGACACGGUCCAGACUCCUACGGGAGGCAGCAGUAGGGAAUCUUCCGCAAUGGGCGAAAGCCUGACGGAGCAACGCCGCGUGAGUGAUGAAGGUCUUCGGAUCGUAAAACUCUGUUAUUAGGGAAAAACAUAUGUGUAAGUAACUGUGCACAUCUUGACGGUACCUAAUCAGAAAGCCACGGCUAACUACGUG